GUGAAUCAAAGGUCCAACUAUGACGGCUUUUGGCACCGUCCCGCACGCUGCCCCCACUCCGUUUACAUUCUGGUUUAACCCCGAGAGCCAGGGACCGACCUGACAGCAGGUGCCACGCGCGUGAGCAGCCCUCCCAGCCUGACGUCCCGCCGUUGGGCUCCGCGGCCCCUGCUGCAAACGUGGGUUCCAGGGCGCGCUGUGUGGUCCCGGCCGAGGCUCCCUGGUCCGCGUGGGGACGGAGGGAACCCUGCAGACGGGCAGAGAAACCCAGCCACCCACGGAAGGGGCACCCGACCCAGGGGGCUGGGCCGUGGGUCGGGGCCCUUGUCUUGGCAGCACCCACAGGAGGCCUUCUGACCUCCAGCCCGGCCGAGGCUCCCUGGUCCGCGUGGGGACGGAGGGAACCCUGCAGACGGGCAGAGAAACCCAGCCACCCACGGAAGGGGCACCCGACCCAGGGGGCUGGGCCGUGGGUCGGGGCCCUUGUCUUGGCAGCACCCACAGGAGGCCUUCUGACCUCCAGCCCGGCAGCCUCUGCCCUCGGCCCUGCUGCACCAGCUCCGUGUCAGGCCGGGGCCCCACAGCCCCCGUGUAGGGGCUGGGGCGUGAGGCGGCUGUAGGCCAGGAAGCUUUGCCCGGAGCCGAGCCUGUCACCGGGCCGGCACUGGGCAGACGCUUCCCUGCCCUCACGCGGUCCCUGAGAGGCCUCCUGACCUCCCUGCCAGCCUCGGGCCUCCCCCCAGGGUGACAUGGGAUGGGGAGCCGUGGAGAAGGUGCGGGGAGCACCCAGGCAACCCAGUGGGUGUGUGUGAUGCCCACUCCCGGCCCGAGUGCCAGCUGCCUGCCCUGCUGGGCCUGGCUGUCCCUGGCCUCUCCUCCCGGGGUUGGAGGGGGACUGAGAGCUGUCCGUGGGGUCCUCAGGUCAUCCUGGGGCCUGGACUGAGCCAGGCAGCUGGCGCGUGCCUGCCAGUGGUGGCUCUCCCGAGGGGCCACGUUUCUGUGGAAAAGGGGAGCGUGGCCCCGGGCACAGCUGUCCUGCCAGGAGGAGCAGAGAGCCGGCCCUGGAGGCGCGUGGCCUGUGGGCUGCACCCUGGCCGGGCCUCCCCUGGGGCAGAGCCCCGCGGCCUUUCUUGAAUUUCACCUUGGUGCACGCCCCCGGCUUCC
RNAcentral lists this long non-coding RNA (1164 nucleotides) under Sus scrofa (pig). RNAcentral's name for it is "lncRNA (ENSSSCG00070014643.1)". Lineage: Eukaryota; Metazoa; Chordata; Mammalia; Artiodactyla; Suidae. The record is from RNAcentral.